This is a non-coding RNA of Megalops atlanticus (tarpon), 71 nucleotides long. NCBI's taxonomy places the organism in Eukaryota, Metazoa, Chordata, Actinopteri, Elopiformes, Megalopidae. The record is from the annotation of a GenBank genome assembly.
GGCAGCGUAGCGUAGUGGUAAAGGUGCAGGGCUCGUGACUGAGAGGUUGCUGGUUUGAUUCCCCGCUGGGG